CUGGGACCCUCGCAGUCACGCAGGGCAGGUGGACCAAAGCCUUCGAGAGCCUCUCUCUCGUUGGGAAACUCACCCCUGCCAGGGCUGGGUUUGGCAAGCCUACUGCAAGAGUCCCAGGCUUUCUCCCGCCGCCCUGGUCUGUCAUGCAUCUGCCCACGCUGGUUGCCACACUUUUGCCACGUCGGGGAGAACCUCCUAGGCUUCCUUGAUGCCUUGAAACAGCCGAAAGCCUUGAAUCAGGGAUGUCAGAUGGAAAAGGCAGCAGCCUGCCUCUGAGGCCAGAGGGCAGGAUGGGUGAGCGAUGACCAUGGGAAGGAGUCGGCUCAGAGGAAAGCGGCCUGCUUAGGGCUGUGGGCGGCCACAGCUGAGACCUGGUGGCUGCACAGGAGAUCCGUAGAGAUGUGAGAGAGCAGCCUGGACCUUCUCAUAGCGCCGGCUGGGCUCACGGGUGUGUGUGUGUCCAAGUUCUUGCAGGGGUAGGGGAGGCUGGAAGUCAAAUUUAAGUAAAGGUUUUUACAAAAUGAUUU
This is a long non-coding RNA of Bos indicus x Bos taurus (hybrid cattle), 527 nucleotides long. Lineage: Eukaryota; Metazoa; Chordata; Mammalia; Artiodactyla; Bovidae. The record is from Ensembl.